AGGCACAGUAUAAAAGGGGGGAGCUGCGGGGGAAGAGGCUUGUUUUUGUUCAAGGAUUUGCAGCAACGAAGAACUGAGCAGGGGGAAAGAAACUUUUUAACCAACGGAUUGGGGAAGUGAGGAGGCACCACAGAGAUGUGGGCAUGCCUCAGCCUGCUCCUCACUCUCUGCCUGCUCCAUGGGGGCGGAGCAGAGAGUGACGGGGAUGGGCCUCGCUGUCAGCCACCACCAGCCUGGAAGAUAGGGGAGGUGGACCCAAUGAAGGAGGCGCUGGGCCAGGUGACAGUGGUGGCACUUUUACAGGCCAGCUGACUGUUCUGCUUGGUGCAGGCUUCCCGAGUGGAUGGCCUGCGCCAGAGGCUGGAGAGUCAGGGUUUGAAGGAUGUGACCUACAUGGUCAUUAACCACCAGGGGGAGGAAGCACAGCGUCUGCAUGCUGUGCUAGCACAGAGACUGUCUGAGAACAUCACCCUUUACAAACAGGAAGAGCAACAACCUGAUGUCUGGCAGACACUGAGUGGGGAGAAAGAUGACUUUCUCAUUUAUGACAGAUGCGGCCGUCUCACCCACCACAUUUCCCUCCCAUACUCCAUCAUCGGACAAGGUCAUGUUGAGGGUGCGAUCAAAGAUACCUACUGCAAACGCAUAUGUGGGAACUGCACACAUGAGAGCACUGACACCCCAGAGGAGUGCAAAGGGAAAGCAGAUGCACAGCCUACCACAGAUGGGACCCCAGCUGUAGAGGAAGACACUGGACAUGGUCAUGGUCAUGGUCAUGGUCAUGGUCAUGGUCAUGGUCUUGGGCAUGGUCACCAUCAUGGACAUCACCACGGGCAUAAUCAUGGUUUUCACCCACGUGGCUUUGGCCAUGGCCGUGACCAUGGAACACAGGGGCAAGAGCAAGAUAGUGGGGUGUCUCAAGGGCAACAACAGGCAGAAUUAGGACAGAUGCAGCAAGCAGUGCAAGUGCACCUGGUGUCACAGGAGGCCAAUGGAGCCCCUGUGAGGCCUUGAGUACCACAGAAGGCUAGGUGAAAGUCAAAGUACAGCUGACAGUGGACAGCAGGCUCUGACAAUGAAGCCUCUCCUAAGGUCAGCUGAUGCUGACACUGACGCAGGCUGUUCGGCGAGGCAGGGAGCAAACAACCGGUCGGUCUCUGACACUGUGAUAAGGCUCUGCCCGCCUCCUGACAGUGACACGGACUGAUAGGUGAUGCAGCCAAUAAUGUUAGGGAGACCUGACAGUGACGCUCGCCUCCUGCUGAAUGACAGCAGCCUCAGCCAGCCCAAUGAGCCUGACCCCCAGGUGUCGUGAGCUGAGGAUGAGAGCCUCACCAGCCAGCCCAAUGACCCUGACCCCCAGGUGUCGUUAGCUGAGGAUGAGAGCCUCACCAGCCAGCCCAAUGACCCUGACCCCCAGGUGUCGUUAGCUGAGGAUGAGAGCCUCACCAGCCAGCCCAAUGACCCUGACCCCCAGGUGUCGUUAGCUGAGGAUGAGAGCCUCACCAGCCAGCCCAAUGACCCUGACCCCCAGGUGUCGUUAGCUGAGGAUGAGAGCCUCACCAGCCAGCCCAAUGACCCUGACCCCCAGGUGUCGUGAGCUGAGCAUGAGAGCGUCAACAGCCAGCCCAAUGACCCUGACCCCCAGGUGUCGUGAGCUGAGCAUGAGAGCGUCAACAGCCAGCCCAAUGACCCUGACCUCCAGGUGUUGCAAGUUGAGGGUGAGAGCAGCUGUAAGCUGGCUCUGAUAUCCUCAUAUUAACAUCAGCCAGCAACACCAGGGUCAAGCGCUCUUUUAACCAACAAGUAUUACCCUGGGAAAAGACGGGGCAAUCCCUGACAGCAUGGACGUGGGAUAGAUGAUCAAGUGGAGUCCAACAUCAGACUGAUAAAGAUUAAAUUAGGCAGAUAAAAACACCAACUAAAACAUGUAUUGUUAGCUUGUGACAUUUGGCAACAGAUAUCCACAUCAUUCUAUCAUGCCUUGAAAAACAUAUGGUGUGUUUCACCUGUCUGAGCGUGUCUGUCAGUGGGUUGCUCUCAUCCUUUCUCAGGAGUGAAUAUGGUUGUCAUGUUCAUAAAUUGCCUUCUCCAUUUUGCUCUCUCCAUCCUUUAUGAAACCAGGCGCAGAAACUAUGCUCUAGUGGCGUCUGUAUGAAGUCCGGCAGGAGAGAGAGGAGAGGAAACUUUAGGAACAUGAUAAGCACUUAAAAUAUUUCAGAAUUCAGUAUGUAAGGAUACUUAAGGAAACAGAAAAAAAUUCGAUACAGUCUGCAAAUACGGCACAAAUUAAUGAUUAAGAAAAAAGAAGAGAAGAUGCUAUUACAGUUUCUCAGAUUCUAUGAAUUAGGUUAAUAUCAGAAAUCUGUGAAGAAGGCUGUAGAAACCUGAAAGCACUGGCCCGUUACUGAGUAAGUCCAAAAGACAUGUAAAAACAAAUCUAUAAAAGCUUAUACCAGCGAUGUGUUUGUCUGUAGGGCAUGCUAUUGAUCAUUAUCCUUGAGCACAAGCUUAAGCGCAUCUCAGGUAUAUCUUUUUUUACACCUCCAACGUGCACAUUUGAAAUUAGUAUUUGGCAUUCCUUUUUUUGUAUGUUCGUUUGUGCAUUCAUUAUAUUUGCCAUGUAGGCAGCAUAUUGCAAAUUUAUACAAGGCUUGUAAAAAAUAAAAAAUAAAACAAGGCUUUGGGAAAAUGCAGAGAGAAAAGGAGAGUUAAGCAAUGAAUAACUGUUGGAAUACACUCUGUACUUAAUGAUGGUUUCUGUGGGAAGACAGCAGUCACCCUGACAACUUGAUGCUUGCACAGAGAACUGUAUUAGUUUAGUUGUAUUAGUCACAGAUGGAAAAUGAGAGAUGAAUAAAGAUGGUUGAGUUACUU
This is an RNA transcript of Seriola dumerili (greater amberjack), 2877 nucleotides long. It is a transcript of the gene named selenoprotein P, with no coding region annotated. The record is from RefSeq and is a predicted model, not a curated record. Lineage: Eukaryota; Metazoa; Chordata; Actinopteri; Carangiformes; Carangidae. The transcript is spliced from 6 exons.